GACGAACGCUGGCGGCGUGCCUAAUACAUGCAAGUAGAACGCUGAAGGAGGAGCUUGCUCUUCUGGAUGAGUUGCGAACGGGUGAGUAACGCGUAGGUAACCUGCCUGGUAGCGGGGGAUAACUAUUGGAAACGAUAGCUAAUACCGCAUAACAGUAGAUGUUGCAUGACAUUUGCUUAAAAGGUGCAAUUGCACCACUACCAGAUGGACCUGCGUUGUAUUAGCUAGUUGGUGGGGUAACGGCUCACCAAGGCGACGAUACAUAGCCGACCUGAGAGGGUGAUCGGCCACACUGGGACUGGGACACGGCCCAGACUCCUACGGGAGGCAGCAGUAGGGAAUCUUCGGCAAUGGACGGAAGUCUGACCGAGCAACGCCGCGUGAGUGAAGAAGGUUUUCGGAUCGUAAAGCUCUGUUGUAAGAGAAGAACGAGUGUGAGAGUGGAAAGUUCACACUGUGACGGUAUCUUACCAGAAAGGGACGGCUAACUACGUG
This 495-nucleotide ribosomal RNA is filed under the name uncultured bacterium. RNAcentral's name for it is "partial 16S ribosomal RNA". It matches the Rfam family "Bacterial small subunit ribosomal RNA", at positions 28 to 507 of the family's 1533-position model. The record is from RNAcentral.